Non-coding RNA from Paramuricea clavata, 1384 nucleotides. NCBI's taxonomy places the organism in Eukaryota, Metazoa, Cnidaria, Anthozoa, Malacalcyonacea, Plexauridae. The record is from the annotation of a GenBank genome assembly.
UAGCUGUCGUUCCAAUUGAAGUGUUCCUCAAAUAUUGAUUCAAUACAUUACCUCGGGCUGACCAAUUCAUUUGAUCAAGUUCCUCGAGAUAUUCAUACACUCCCUAGUGUAAUUGUAAACUUCCUGUUGAAUAGUUUGAAUGCACCAAUCACUUUGUUGUUUGUGCAAUUAACCAAUCAUAAAUAGAAAGGAAGUGACCAGAAAUGGUCAAAAACUUGGAAUUGGCUCUUUCACAGGAAGUGUAUGAAUAUCUCGAGGACCUUGAUGAAAUGAGAUGCUUGUGUGAUGUUACUCUGAGUGUAUAUUCGAAUCCCACCGUGGCCAGGCAUAUUUUUCAAGCCUGCCCGGUGUGGAUAUACACUCAGAGUAACAUCACACAAGCAUCUUAUUCACCUGAGUACAUUACACCAACACAGCAAAUAUCAUGAUUAUUAGAAUGCACUGAUAUCGAAGGAACUAGAAACAGUUCCGAAAUAUCGCAUACUCGAACCGACCUGACCGCGUAGCUCAGUCGGCAGAGCAUUGGGCUAGUAUUCCAAAGGUCGUAGAUUCGAAUCCCACCGUUGCCAGGCAUAUUUUUCAAGCCUGCCCGGUGUGGAUAUACACUCAGAGUAACAUCACACAAGCAUCUUAUUCACCUGAGUAUAUUACACCAACACAACAAAUAUCUUGAUGAAAUGAAUUGGUCAGCCCGAGGUAAAAUAUUGAAUCAAUAUUUGAGGAACACUUCAAUUGGAACGACAGUUAUGCCAAUAAAAAUAAGGUAUGAAUCGCAUAAAAUGCAGAUAUCAACUCGAGCAUAAAAUGUGCAUAUUGUUCUAAAAGGCAAUUGUUCCUUGAAUGUUCAAUGAAAUAGUGCCAUCACCUUUUACAAGGAAGACCAUUAUGAAGAAAUACACUUGACUUUCUUCAUUGCCACCCUGUACUUAAUACAGAUAUACCAUAUUUUCUUGAUAAAUUCAUACCUGAAAGCGGAAUACAUACAGGUCUAAAAAACUUUAAUGGUGAUCGAUAUAAGUGCUUAUUCCAAAGAGUUGCUUCCCCAGAAUUUACUAAUAGAAUAAACCGUUAAAUCUCCAAAAAAACCUUUGUCACUCAGGGAAAUUUAUAGCAACACGGUUUUCAACAAGCUAUAUUUGUUUAAGUUUACUUACUGGAGAUUAUUAUAAUACUCGUGUUUUAAAGAAUCUUGAUAGUCAGUUGCAACACAAAUUCACAAUACAACAAGAAUUGAUAAAUCAUUUCAAUGACUUACACGCUUUGUCCUUGUGGCCGUCAAGCUCCAUUCAUGUCUUUUUAUUAUGGCUUUCGGUCUUUAUUGAUUUAUACGAGCAGUUAGAAUAAUAUUAUUUUUAGACGGACGAAAAUCAAAAUACUCUCCGUC